UUAAUUGAAACCAAAAUAGAGGUAUAUUACUGUUAAUAAUAUUAUUGAAAAAUCAUUUCCAAUUAAG
Molecule: transfer RNA, 67 nt
Filed under: Phaneroptera gracilis (slender bush katydid)
Lineage: Eukaryota; Metazoa; Arthropoda; Insecta; Orthoptera; Tettigoniidae
Also listed under: 1 other name
Description: tRNA-Asn
Source: RNAcentral